Molecule: transfer RNA, 87 nt
Filed under: Halomonas halophila
Lineage: Bacteria; Pseudomonadati; Pseudomonadota; Gammaproteobacteria; Oceanospirillales; Halomonadaceae
Also listed under: 15 other names
Description: tRNA-Leu
Rfam family: tRNA
About the family: Transfer RNA (tRNA) molecules are approximately 80 nucleotides in length. Their secondary structure includes four short double-helical elements and three loops (D, anti-codon, and T loops).
Source: RNAcentral
GCCGAAGUGGUGGAAUUGGUAGACACGCUAUCUUGAGGGGGUAGUGGCCUUACGGCCGUGCGGGUUCAAGUCCCGCCUUCGGCACCA